UGCGUAGGGGGCUAGCGUUGUCCGGAAUCAUUGGGCGUAAAGAGCGUGUAGGCGGUCCGGUAAGUCCGCUGUGAAAGUCGGGGGCUCAACCCCCGAAUGCCGGUGGAUACUGUCGGGCUUGAGUACGGAAGAGGCGAGUGGAAUUCCUGGUGUAGCGGUGAAAUGCGCAGAUAUCAGGAGGAACACCAAUUGCGAAGGCAGCUCGCUGGGACGUUACUGACGCUGAGACGCGAAAGCGUGGGGAGCAAACAGG
This 253-nucleotide ribosomal RNA is filed under the name uncultured bacterium. Its description in RNAcentral is "partial 16S ribosomal RNA". It matches the Rfam family "Bacterial small subunit ribosomal RNA", at positions 524 to 776 of the family's 1533-position model. The record is from RNAcentral.